UACGGAGGAUGCAAGCGUUAUCCGGAUUUAUUGGGUUUAAAGGGUGCGUAGGCGGGAUAAUAAGUCAGUGGUGAAAGCCUGUAGCUUAACUAUAGAAUUGCCAUUGAUACUGUUAUUCUUGAGUACAGUUGAGGUAGGCGGAAUGUGUAAUGUAGCAGUGAAAUGCUUAGAUAUUACACAGAACACCAAUUGCGAAGGCAGCUUACUAAGCUGGAACUGACGCUGAGGCACGAAAGCGUGGGGAGCAAACAGGAUUA
This 257-nucleotide ribosomal RNA is filed under the name uncultured prokaryote. RNAcentral's name for it is "partial 16S ribosomal RNA". It matches the Rfam family "Bacterial small subunit ribosomal RNA", at positions 524 to 780 of the family's 1533-position model. The record is from RNAcentral.